This 23-nucleotide non-coding RNA is filed under the name Cricetulus griseus (Chinese hamster). Lineage: Eukaryota; Metazoa; Chordata; Mammalia; Rodentia; Cricetidae. The record is from RNAcentral.
AUCACUGGACUGCUUUAUUAGCU